RNAcentral lists this ribosomal RNA (253 nucleotides) under uncultured bacterium. Its description in RNAcentral is "partial 16S ribosomal RNA". It matches the Rfam family "Bacterial small subunit ribosomal RNA", at positions 524 to 776 of the family's 1533-position model. The record is from RNAcentral.
UACGAAGGGGGCUAGCGUUGUUCGGAUUUACUGGGCGUAAAGCGCGUGUAGGCGGGUCGUUAAGUUAGGGGUGAAAUCCCGGAGCUCAACUCUGGAACUGCCUUUGAAACUGGUGAUCUUGAGUACGGGAGAGGUGAGUGGAAUUCCCAGUGUAGAGGUGAAAGUCGUAGAUAUUGGGAAGAACAGCGGUGGCGAAGGCGGCUCACUGGCCCGUAACUGACGCUCAGGCGCGAUAGCGUGGGGAUCAAACAGG